GCCAGGGAACUACGAGCAAAGUUUAAAACCCAAAGGACUUGACGGUGCCCCAUACCCCCCUAGAGGAGCCUGUCCUAUAACCGAUGAUCCCAGUUUAACCUCACCACUUUUAGCUUAUCAGCUUGUAUACUUCCGUCGCCAGCCUACCACGUGAGCGAAAUUCAGUUAGGUCAAUCGGCCAAAUAACUUAAUAGACCGCCAAUACGUCAGGUCAAAGUGCAGCAAAUGAAGUGGAAAGAGAUUGGUACACUUUUUAGCAUAAAAAAUUUACGAAAAACAAAUAAUGAAACUUUGUCAGAAGGUGGAUUUAGCAGUAAAAAGAAUUCAUAAUAUUCAUUUUAAGCUGGCAUUGGAGCGUGU
Molecule: ribosomal RNA, 360 nt
Filed under: Eleutherodactylus audanti
Lineage: Eukaryota; Metazoa; Chordata; Amphibia; Anura; Eleutherodactylidae
Description: partial 12S ribosomal RNA
Rfam family: Bacterial small subunit ribosomal RNA
Source: RNAcentral